This 378-nucleotide ribosomal RNA is filed under the name Scinax boesemani (Boeseman's snouted treefrog). RNAcentral's name for it is "partial 16S ribosomal RNA". It matches the Rfam family "Bacterial large subunit ribosomal RNA", at positions 1913 to 2422 of the family's 2925-position model. The record is from RNAcentral. Lineage: Eukaryota; Metazoa; Chordata; Amphibia; Anura; Hylidae.
GUGACUAUUGUUCAACGGCCGCGGUAUCCUAACCGUGCGAAGGUAGCGUAAUCACUUGUUCUUUAAAUGAGGACUAGUAUGAAUGGCAUCACGAGGGUUAUACUGUCUCCUCUCUCUAAUCAGUGAAACUAAUCUCCCCGUGAAGAAGCGGGGAUGAAAUUAUAAGACGAGAAGACCCUAUGGAGCUUUAAGUAAAUCUUCAAACGCUUGUAUACCCUAACAGUCAUAGACCCUUAAAAUUAACUUUAGCGCCAUGAAGAUGAACUUUAGGUUGGGGUGACCACGGAGUACAAAAAAACCUCUACGCUGAACAAGUCUCAAAGCCUUGAGUAAAGGGCCACAACCCGAUACACUAAUAAACUAACACCAAUUGACCCA